RNAcentral lists this ribosomal RNA (459 nucleotides) under uncultured bacterium. RNAcentral's name for it is "partial 16S ribosomal RNA". It matches the Rfam family "Bacterial small subunit ribosomal RNA", at positions 338 to 795 of the family's 1533-position model. The record is from RNAcentral.
CCUACGGGUGGCAGCAGUGAGGAAUAUUGGUCAAUGGCCGCAGGGCUGAACCAGCCAAGUCGCGUGAGGGAUGACGGUCCUAUGGAUUGUAAACCUCUUUUGUCAGGGAGCAAAGGGCGCCACGUGUGGCGUUUUGCGAGUACCUGAAGAAAAAGCAUCGGCUAACUCCGUGCCAGCAGCCGCGGUAAUACGGAGGAUGCGAGCGUUAUCCGGAUGUAUUGGGGUUAAGGGGUGCGCAGGCGGAAUGUCAAGUCAGCGGUAAAAUUUCGGGGCUAAACCCCGGCGAGCCGUUGAAACUGGCUGUCUUGAGAUGUCGAGAGGUAUGCGGAAUGCGCAGUGUAGCGGUGAAAUGCUUAGAUAUUGCGAAGAACUCCGAUUGCGAAGGCAGCAUACCGGCGGCGAUCUGACGCUGAGGCACGAAAGCGUGGGUAUCGAACAGGAUUAGAUACCCCUGUAGUC